This 45-nucleotide non-coding RNA is filed under the name Schistosoma mansoni. The record is from RNAcentral. Lineage: Eukaryota; Metazoa; Platyhelminthes; Trematoda; Strigeidida; Schistosomatidae.
AUCCAGUUGACGGGGUCCAAAUAGGACGAAACGCGCGUCCUGGAU